UCGGGAAUUUUGGGCAAUGGGCGAAAGCCUGACCCAGCAACGCCGCGUGAAGGAUGAAGUAUUUCGGUAUGUAAACUUCGAAAGAAUAGGAAGAAUAAAUGACGGUACUAUUUAUAAGGUCCGGCUAACUACGUGCCAGCAGCCGCGGUAAUACGUAGGGACCAAGCGUUGUUCGGAUUUACUGGGCGUAAAGGGCGCGUAGGCGGCAUGACAAGUCACUUGUGAAAUCUCUGGGCUUAACCCAGGAACUGCGUCCGAUACUGGCUGGCUUGAAUCCGGGAGAGGGAUGCGGAAUUCCAGGUGUAGCGGUGAAAUGCGUAGAUAUCUGGAGGAACACCGAUGGCGAAGGCAGCCCCCUGGGCUAACACUGACGCUCAUGCACGAAAGCGUGGGGAGCAAACAGGAUUAGAUACCCUUGUAGUCCCUGAGCGGGCUGGCAAGGCGCAU
Molecule: ribosomal RNA, 447 nt
Filed under: uncultured bacterium
Lineage: Bacteria
Description: bacterial SSU rRNA
Rfam family: Bacterial small subunit ribosomal RNA
Source: RNAcentral